CAGUAGCCGCGGUAAUACAGAGGGUGCAAGCGUUAAUCGGAAUUACUGGGCGUAAAGCGCGCGUAGGUGGUUUGUUAAGUUGGAUGUGAAAUCCCCGGGCUCAACCUGGGAACUGCAUCCAAAACUGGCAAGCUAGAGUACGGUAGAGGGUGGUGGAAUUUCCUGUGUAGCGGUGAAAUGCGUAGAUAUAGGAAGGAACACCAGUGGCGAAGGCGACCACCUGGACUGAUACUGACACUGAGGUGCGAAAGCGUGGGGAGCAAACAGGAUUAGAUACCCCAGUAGUCCCUGUCUCUUAUAC
Molecule: ribosomal RNA, 301 nt
Filed under: uncultured bacterium
Lineage: Bacteria
Description: partial 16S ribosomal RNA
Rfam family: Bacterial small subunit ribosomal RNA
Source: RNAcentral